GAUGAACGCGGGCGGCGUGCCUAAUACAUGCAAGUAGAACGCUGAAGGAAGGAGCUUGCUCUUUCCGGAUGAGUUGCGAACGGGUGAGUAACGCGUAGGUAACCUGCCUGGUAGCGGGGGAUAACUAUAGGAAACGAUAGCUAAUACCGCAUAACAGUAGAUGUUGCAUGACAUCUGCUUGAAAGGGGCAAUUGCUCCACUACCAGAUGGACCUGCGUUGUAUUAGCUAGUUGGUGAGGUAACGGCUCACCAAGGCGACGAUACAUAGCCGACCUGAGAGGGUGAUCGGCCACACUGGGACUGAGACACGGCCCAGACUCCUACGGGAGGCAGCAGUAGGGAAUCUUCGGCAAUGGACGGAAGUCUGACCGAGCAACGCCGCGUGAGUGAAGAAGGUUUUCGGAUCGUAAAGCUCUGUUGUAAGAGAAGAACGAGUGUGAGAGUGGAAAGUUCACACUGUGACGGUAUCUUACCAGAAAGGGACGGCUAACUACGUGCCAGCAGCCGCGGUAAUACGUAGGUCCCGAGCGUUAUCCGGAUUUAUUGGGCGUAAAGCGAGCGCAGGCGGUUAGAUAAGUCUGAAGUUAAAGGCUGUGGCUUAACCAUAGUACGCUUUGGAAACUGUUUAACUCGAGUGCAGAAGGGGAGAGUGGAAUUCCAUGUGUAGCGGUGAAAUGCGUAGAUAUAUGGAGGAACACCGGUGGCGAAAGCGGCUCUCUGGUCUGUAACUGACGCUGAGGCUCGAAAGCGUGGGGAGCAAACAGG
Molecule: ribosomal RNA, 765 nt
Filed under: uncultured Streptococcus sp.
Lineage: Bacteria; Bacillati; Bacillota; Bacilli; Lactobacillales; Streptococcaceae
Description: bacterial SSU rRNA
Rfam family: Bacterial small subunit ribosomal RNA
Source: RNAcentral